RNAcentral lists this ribosomal RNA (253 nucleotides) under uncultured bacterium. RNAcentral describes it as "partial 16S ribosomal RNA". It matches the Rfam family "Bacterial small subunit ribosomal RNA", at positions 524 to 776 of the family's 1533-position model. The record is from RNAcentral.
UACAGAGGGUGCGAGCGUUAAUCGGAAUUACUGGGCGUAAAGCGUGCGUAGACGGUCGCGUAAGUCAGAUGUGAAAGCCCCGGGCUCAACCCCGGAACUGCAUCCGAUACUGCCGUGCUAGAGGAUUGGAGAGGUAGCUGGAAUUCUUGGUGUAGCAGUGAAAUGCGUGGAGAUCAAGAGGAACACUCGUGGCGAAAGCGAGCUACUGGACAAUAUCUGACGCUGAGGCUCGAAGGCCAGGGUAGCGAAAGGG